This 1686-nucleotide long non-coding RNA is filed under the name Mytilus galloprovincialis (Mediterranean mussel). Lineage: Eukaryota; Metazoa; Mollusca; Bivalvia; Mytilida; Mytilidae. The record is from RNAcentral.
AUUUUUAGCCGUGGCGGCCAUCUUGGUUGGUUGACCGGGUCACGCCACACAUUUUUUAAACUAGAUACCCUUAUUAUGAUUGUGGCCAAGUUUGGUUAAAUUUGGCCCAAUAGUUUCAGAGGAGAAGAUUUUUGUAAAAGCUAACGACGACGGACGACGGACGACGACGACGGACGCCGGACGACGACGCCGGACGCCGGACGCCAAGUGAUGGGAAAAGCUCACUUGGCCCUUCGGGCCAGGUGAGCUAAAAAAGCUUGAAGCCAUUUUUAGGAGUGGAAAUUUUCAUAGUCUAAAGAUUGUAAUUUCAGCAAAAAUCAGUGGUGACCAACCAAACAUAAUCUGUAACUCAUUAUAAAAGACUUGCAUACUAAAAAUCUAUUUGACAUGGACUAUAAAUUGGCAGAGCCAUAUAAACCCCAUUUUGAUAGCUGAAUUUAUUUGCAGCUGUCCUAAAAUCUUGCAAACUAUUCUCGAAUUAGUCUCUUUUUGUUCAACAAUCAACAAUAAAUCCAUGCAAAAAAUUUCUAAAUGUACAGUAAUUGUUUAACUUAACAGACAUUAUGCAAUUAUAAUGUACGAAUGUAGUCAAUCAUAUUUUAAUUAACAGAGGAUAUGAAUCUACACAGAAGUCUUACAUAUUCUGAAACAUAAAAAUUGUAAAGCACAUUGCAAAAUUAUUUAUAAUUGUGAAAUAUCAGUGUUACAACCGAUUUUUGAGAAGAUAUAAAAUUCAAUGCAAAUUUGAACGAAAAUCAUCAAAACAAAUGUAAAAAGAGGUCAUGAUAGAAAAAAGAACCCUGUUCAGCAAUAAAUUACAAUCAUAAACUACAAAAUCAUAUAUAAUCACUUUUCAAGUCUAUCAAAAAGACCUUAAUAAUGUGAAACAAAGCAAAAGUGUUCAAUCAUACAUAAUAGCUAUAGGUAGAUCAUGUUGACCCAAGGAUUGAAGAAUUGUACAAAAAGAGUUAAUUUAGCAUUUAAAUGUCACUCACAUACACAAGGGGUUUCACCCAAAAAAAUAUUUUAAGGACUACUUUUAUAGUUAAAAUGUGUAUGUCUAUCAGACUUUAUAUCACAUGUAUAGUAGUACCAUGUUUCAGGGUUAAAAUUGAAAAUUUUCAGUGUUAUAUCAGAAAAGUUUAAGUCUGAUGAAACAUUAAAUUUAAGUGCAGCAUAUAUAAACCACAGGUAUGCAUGAAUCAAGUAAAGAUUAUAAUGGAAAGGUGCUUGACUAUAUACAUGAUAUAUAGAAAAUGCAAAACGAAAAAUUCUAUUUGUUUAUCAAAACAUUCUGAAAUACAAAUAAAACCUGAAAAAAGUCCCCAAAACACUCAAUUUAGGACAAGAAAUUUAAAAUGUUACUGAUCAAUUCUGUACAAACAGGGUUAUGGGUAUUAAUGUCAAUGGUACCAUACUAUAACAUUCGGAUAAAUAAAUAUGUUUCAACAACAAGUUGUUAUAAUCAUUUUUAUGGACAAGGGUUAGAUAUAUUAGCACUGACACUUAUAUCAUGGCAUAAAAUCUGUAGUGAAAAUCUAGAUAUAUUCUCUUAUUUUUGCUCUAGGUGGAAAAAUGUGCUUACUUUAAUCUAAAUUUUGUUUUUUGUUUUUUUUUAAAUCUGAAGGACUGAACAGUCAGUUAGCGUAGCUUUAACCCAGCGCAAAACAAAUUUACAAAAAAAAA